Molecule: ribosomal RNA, 293 nt
Filed under: uncultured bacterium
Lineage: Bacteria
Description: partial 16S ribosomal RNA
Rfam family: Bacterial small subunit ribosomal RNA
Source: RNAcentral
GGAUUAGAUACCCUGGUAGUCCUAACCGUAAACGGUGUGAACUUGCUGUAGGAGGAUUCGACCCCUUCUGUGGCGGAGCAAACGCGUUAAGUUCACCGCCUGGGAAGUACGGCCGCAAGGUUAAAACUCAAAGAAAUUGACGGGGGCCUGCACAAGCGGUGGAGUAUGUGGCUUAAUUCGAUGCAACGCGAAGAACCUUACCUGGGUUUGACAUGCCGUCAUAAGCUGUGAAAGCAGUGGUCAGUUCGGCUGGACGUGCACAGGUGCUGCAUGGCUGUCGUCAGCUCGUGCCG